Molecule: long non-coding RNA, 1457 nt
Organism: Maniola jurtina (meadow brown)
Lineage: Eukaryota; Metazoa; Arthropoda; Insecta; Lepidoptera; Nymphalidae
Exons: 3
Source: RefSeq, a predicted model, not a curated record
UUAACAUAAAUUAAUAAAGGUUUAGCGAACGAUCGAAAAAUCAGUUAUUUCUAGGUUUAUAUAUAUCAUAUAGGUGUAUAUAAAGAAUUGAUAUUUUAUUCCGUUUAUUUGCCCUAAAACACCCCACCCUAGGGUGCAUAUUCUGAAACGCGUGCCCAUCAGCUAUCCACCCCAUCAAACUAAAAUUAUUUUUAUUCUAAUUCUAAUUUUUUCUAAUUUUUCAAUCCGGGGUGGUGGAUAAAUAGAAUAUACGUUUCAUGUUAGAAUCUUUAACAACAUGUAUUUGUGAUAACUUAUUGAGAGACACUUAGUUCGAGUGGACUUUCUAUUUUCCUUUUUUUCGUAAGCAUGUGAGUUUCCCAAAAUAUACUCUGAUAUUUCAGACAAAUAAGACAUUGCUGUGAUGAAAAAUUUCUUAUUGUAAGUUGAUAUGGUUUUUUUAGCAAAAGAGCGGCUCCCCACCGAACUUUUCGGGAAAUUUCCCGAAGUUGAAUAUACUAAAAAGUAUGACAUAGAAUAAGACUAAAAAGUCUAAAAUCAGACCACUGCCUACUAAGAACUGUUUCUUGACAAUAAUAGCCAGUAUUCAGAGUCCAAAUGACUACACUGUUAUUUUGUGUCUGCAUUUAAUUGAUCAGCCAGUCUGCAAAAGAAGGAAGUGCCUUUAAAUUAUUAUUACUUACAUAAAAUGAAAAAGCUCAUUCCUCCUAACUAAACCGAGCCAACGUAAAAUACUCUACUGCCCGAGCUUUCCUUUAUUUAAAAAAAGCAUUUUCCAUCCGCGUGGAGCCGUGAGCACUCACAGUAGGUAUAAAGAUAAUAGUGCAGACUUUCAAAAAUCCCUCAAGCUUAGAAUGUAAUUAUAAAAAUGUCUAGUUUCCAUUGAUAUAUAAGUAUAUAAGUCUAUGUUAGUUUCACCUUUUUUUUUGCAACGUCGGAAACCCACGAAAAAGAAAACUAGAAACAUUUGCUUUAAAAAAUAUUCAUAACUAAAAAAAGUAUUAGAGAUAUCCUGAUAUAGUAAUUAUAAUAAAAAUGGUUGUACUCAUGUCGCGUUUUCUUGGGAUGUGCCUAAUUUUGAAAAAAAACCUCUUUAUAAACUCACGUUGCGUAGGGUGAUUGUGGUACAUUUCUUGACCCAAAAAAAAAAAUAAUUUUAACGAUGACAAGUUUACCCUGACAGCGAGUUCACCUAGUGGUAAGUGAUGAUGCAGUUUAAAAUUGAAAUGGGUAAUCUAGACGGAGUAGCUACAAUUUGAUUUGACACAACACGUAGUUUAGUCGCAAAUUCAGAAAACACAUUAGCAAAUUAACAGAAUUGCGAAUACGAACGUUAAAAGUAUCACAAUAACAUUUCAAAACAAACAAUAACUAUAAAUUUCACAAUAUGUAUGUGUUUUCAUGCCCGAACCAUUAAACAGUUGCAAAAUGCAAAUAUUCUGUUAGUAAUAUUGGCA